AUUGAACGCUGGCGGAAUGCUUAACACAUGCAAGUCGAGCGAGCUGUAGCAAUACAGCUAGCGGCGGAUGGGUGAGGAAUACAUAGGAAUCUGCCUCAGAGCGGGGGAUAGCCCGGGGAAACUCGGAGUAAUACCGCAUGAUGUCGCAAGACCAAAGUGGGGGACCGCAAGGCCCCACACUCUGAGAUGAGCCUAUGUCUGAUUAGCUAGUUGGCGGGGUAAUGGCCCACCAAGGCGACGAUCAGUAGCUGGUCUGAGAGGACGAUCAGCCACACCGGAACUAAGACACGGUCCGGACUCCUACGGGAGGCAGCAGUGGGGAAUAUUGGACAAUGGGCGCAAGCCUGAUCCAGCAAUUCCGCGUGGGUGAAGAAGGCCUUCGGGUUGUAAAGCCCUUUAAGUUGGGACAAAAAAAUCGGCGAUAACAUCGCCGGUCUUGAUGGUACCGACAGAAUAAGCAACGGCUAACUCCGUGCCAGCAGCCGCCGUAA
RNAcentral lists this ribosomal RNA (491 nucleotides) under uncultured bacterium. Its description in RNAcentral is "partial 16S ribosomal RNA". It matches the Rfam family "Bacterial small subunit ribosomal RNA", at positions 30 to 523 of the family's 1533-position model. The record is from RNAcentral.